UACGAGGGGUGCAAGCGUUGCUCGGAAUUAUUGGGCGUAAAGGGUAGGUAGGUGGUCUCAUUUGUCUGGGGUGAAAGCCUUGAGCUUAACUCAAGAAGUGCCUCGGAAACGGUGAGACUGGAGUCCUGGAGAGGGUUGUGGAAUUCCCGGUGUAGCGGUGAAAUGCGUAGAGAUCGGGAGGAACACCAGAGGCGAAGGCGGCAACCUGGACAGGCACUGACACUCAACUACGAAAGCGUGGGGAGCAAACAGG
RNAcentral lists this ribosomal RNA (253 nucleotides) under uncultured bacterium. Its description in RNAcentral is "partial 16S ribosomal RNA". It matches the Rfam family "Bacterial small subunit ribosomal RNA", at positions 524 to 776 of the family's 1533-position model. The record is from RNAcentral.